RNAcentral lists this long non-coding RNA (3708 nucleotides) under Pelobates cultripes (western spadefoot toad). The record is from RNAcentral. Lineage: Eukaryota; Metazoa; Chordata; Amphibia; Anura; Pelobatidae.
AGAUGACCAGUCUCUUGGAACCAUUUGUAGCCAUGAAAAAAAAAGGUUUUUCAUUGCCAUGGGACAUGGAGAUGCCAACUAUCCAGGUUCCAAAAUUAAUCCAUAGCUUCAGGCUCCUAGCAGUGGUUCAGGCCUGGCUGCCUGGCGCAGAAAAGUCUCGAUAUCUCAAGAUCCAGGGCUCGGAUUGGCGAGCUGUUUUUUUGGUUUUCCUCCCCAUUGGCAAUGGGGUAUUCGGAGCCUGGCUUGUGGGACAAGUAAGGGUGGCUGGUUUCCUGCUUGUUUGUGCAGAGCUUCAGCUUUGUACGUCUGACUCGGAAGGUCACUGGCUCUGCCCCACAGUUGUCAGUAUUUUGUAGCUGCAAAUAUCUAUUGGCUGUUGGUAGAAACAUUAGUUUAUUACCAGAUAUUUAAAACAUUACCUGCCUUUAUUAGUUUAAUAGGCAGAUAUUUAGCAAACACAUUGAAAAUUGGCUGUAUAAGGUUUAGUGAAUAUUAACUUAGCUACAUGUAAUCAUAUGUGGACUUUGACUGUUCUCUAAGUAAAAUAAUUCCUUUGAUGGACUUUGAUUCAUUGCAGAAUUCUUCAAUUUGAAACAUUUGUUCAAUGCCAAAUUAUCAAUAAAUCUGUUUCAUAGAACAUUUCAAUAUUUUAAAAUAUAAUUUUGUCCUUUAAGGAAAAAGCACACAGGAUUGGGCAAAAAAUUUAGAAUCCAGUAAAUUCCAGUUACUGUGUCCCAAUGGAGCCCGCGCAGAAGUAACUCAAUUUGCAGACUGCAAUUGGGCCCAAGUUCCAGCUCAUGCUGUGAUGGUACAUGCAGACACCAAUAUUCAUGCCGUGUUUGGCUUACUGGACCAUGCACAGGUGAGACUUCUUAACACUAAUCAUUGUGAGGGUUGCAAGAAUCAUCAGGAUGGAGAGAUGAUAGCCAUAAUUUACCUAUAUUAUUUGAUAACUCACAAGAUCAUUGAGAUUUGCCUCUCUCCCUAUACUGACAACAUGGUUGGCAUUUUAUUUGUAAACCAAUGGAGAUUGCACACACUUAACUUGUUUGGAUUUAGAGUGCACAUGAGUUUAUUUUGGGAUAUUUUGCAUAGGUAGUAUUUUGAUCAUUAGCCUAAUUUUGCUGACUGCCUAGAACCAGGCAUAUUUUUAUGUCAAUCACGAUUUAUUAAAUAUCUAAAAUAUCAAGUAGAGAGGGAGAACUAAGCACAUUUGUAUUCUCUUAUGGAAAAUGUAUGGUCUGAAAAGGUGGAAAAUUUUAAUGCAAACCAAUGGAAUCACUAGAUACUUUGGGAGAGAUUUGUCACAAUGACAGGAUUUAAAAAUUGGGGCAAACUUUAUUAAAUUUCUCCAAUUUCCUUGGUGAUUUUUAUCUGUUUAAUUUUGCACCAAUUUUCAGAAUACAACACUUUGAUAAAUCUCUUUUAUAGUCUCUAAACAUUUUGGACAUAUGUAAUCCAAAAAAAAUAAAAAUAAUAAUUAAUAAAAGUAACAGCCUUUUAAUUUAGCAUUGUUUGUGCUAAACAAUGAGCAAUCAACAUGGAAAGUGAAUGUCCUUCAUUAUUUAGCUUUUUGCACUUAGAAUAUCACCUAUUUGUUUAGGCAGUUGAAGUUGUCUGUACUAUGAAUUAAUUCAGUAUUUCGUGUUGGCAGUUUUCAUUGUAAUUACCAACCUUAACCACUUAAGGACCACAUGGUGGUCUGUAAUGUCAUGCAGUGCAGUGCUUUAACGCCCAUCGACGGGCAUAGAGCAUCAUGCAAUAAAAGUACCAGCAGCGUUAAAACAAUUUCGCUUCAUUUAUUUUAUAACUUCUAAAUAUCCUAGACAUAUUGGGCAUUUUAGCAAUCAGGACUAAUUUGAGAUUUUAGUUGCACUCGAUGUGAUGUAUAAAUUAUUAAAUGUAGGGGGGCAGGGCCGGGCCGCCAUGCUGACCGGUCGCAUGCAGUAGAAGCUCCUGAUGCACUCUGUCAAUCAAGCUGAAAAUCACAGCUUAAACACACAAUCCAAGCUAAAAAAAUGUACCUGUAGCUGGUACACGACAGUGGACAUCGCAGUGCAAGCUGAGAUCAGGAGUUUUGGAGCCCGCAGGGGUGAUCUAAGGCUUUGGAGUUUGCGGCCUACUCGGAGGAGAAGCGGUGCAGACGGCCGCUGUCCCGCUCUCCCCCUCCCUCCCAAUGCCACACACCUGCUCUCUGGUGUGGUUGCUGGCCCCAUACCCCCCUCUGGGCCAGUGGGGGUUAUCCCGGCCUCCACUGGAGAGUCUGAAGCUGCACUACAACACGGGCCUACCCAGCACUCUGCAACAAAAAUGGCGGCCGACCAUGCCCAUUCGAAACCGACACUGAAGCUGGAACGGCCACCUCGGCUAUGCCACAGACACUCACGUUCCAACUCCCAACAGUCAGAGCUGGCGCCCGACAUGCAAACCACAACUCCGUGAGCCGUGCAGAGUAUAAUCUCACUGCAUGAAGAUUUAAACCCCUCAAGGUCGAAUCUGCACCAGCCCUGACGGCGCAAGAUCCAAAUCCAAGGUGUGAUUUAGGGCUGGCGGAGCGGCACAAACCAAUUUACACGCAUGAUGGGACUGAACCUCACAAUUCACCAAGCUGGUGGCGGGAACAUGCGGUGGGACUACCCAAAUCGCCUGAUGGCGGAAUACCUGAGCCAUGUACUAAACACUUCAACAGCAGAGUGGGGGAUGUCUGAAACAAGGAGACCCAGUGGCUUUUACUAAGCAAAAAGUUAUCUUGCUAGAUGUAAUUAUUCAAUUAUAAUAGGCUUAGCAGAACGCUCAGGGAACAUAACAUGUCACCUUAAUGCCUAUUUUAGACCAGUUAGCUGUGUUGCAUUAUUCAGACUAGCCAUGCUGUUAGAAUAUGCAUUUUAUUAAGUUAUACCACAGUUACUCUCACAAAACCCAAUACGUUAAGUUCGCUGAUGUUACUGCUUGUCACUUUGGUAACUUACAACUUGAUGUAUGAACCUAGCUUGUUUAUCCUCAUAAAAUACAAAAAUGUGCAAAAAUUCUAUGCCAUCUAUGUGAAUAAGCUUGCUUUAAUGGGCUUGUACUAUGCUGUUGUGGCAUCGUCGGCUUGUAUAUUAUCUUGUGUACAAUAAAAAUAAAGAAUUUAAAAAAAUUAAUUAUUAAAUGUAAAAACUGAGGGAAAAAAAUGUGUUUUAUUGUCAUCUCUUUCCAAUUUUUAAAUAUGUUAUUACUAUUUAAUAUUCUGUUAUGUAUACAUAUAGGGUAUUAAAAGGAAGCUAUAUUUCUCCCUUAAUAAUUAUAAGCAAUAUGUCUUGGUACAUUUAAACAGAAAGGGUGAAAUUGUGGUAGAAUGAACGCAUGGCAAAAAGUGCAAAAAAGGCCUUGGUUACAAAUGUAUUGCAUCUCAAAAGAGCCUUAGCCAUUAAGGGGUUAAUAUACAUAUUAAAUAGAAUAUUAGAUAAUUAAUCAUUCAACAUAGUUGACCUUGGGAUGUUGAAUUUCUGAAAUUUUCAUUUUUGUCUUCUGUUCAGGAAUACUAUGGAAGCGACAGUCAUCUUGAAUUCAAAAUGUUUGACUCUUCCAAAUAUAAUUCAAAAGACUUAAUCUUUAAAGAUUCCACUAAUAAGAUUGUUCCAGUCAAAGACAAGAAAACUGCAGAGAAAUGGCUUGGAACAAAUUAUAUUAAUUCAUUGGAAGGUUUACAGUGUAGUUCUAGUACAG